Molecule: ribosomal RNA, 1525 nt
Filed under: Bacteroides thetaiotaomicron
Lineage: Bacteria; Pseudomonadati; Bacteroidota; Bacteroidia; Bacteroidales; Bacteroidaceae
Description: bacterial SSU rRNA
Rfam family: Bacterial small subunit ribosomal RNA
Source: RNAcentral
AUGAAGAGUUUGAUCCUGGCUCAGGAUGAACGCUAGCUACAGGCUUAACACAUGCAAGUCGAGGGGCAGCAUUUCAGUUUGCUUGCAAACUGGAGAUGGCGACCGGCGCACGGGUGAGUAACACGUAUCCAACCUGCCGAUAACUCGGGGAUAGCCUUUCGAAAGAAAGAUUAAUACCCGAUGGUAUAAUCAGACCGCAUGGUCUUGUUAUUAAAGAAUUUCGGUUAUCGAUGGGGAUGCGUUCCAUUAGGCAGUUGGUGAGGUAACGGCUCACCAAACCUUCGAUGGAUAGGGGUUCUGAGAGGAAGGUCCCCCACAUUGGAACUGAGACACGGUCCAAACUCCUACGGGAGGCAGCAGUGAGGAAUAUUGGUCAAUGGGCGCAGGCCUGAACCAGCCAAGUAGCGUGAAGGAUGACUGCCCUAUGGGUUGUAAACUUCUUUUAUAUGGGAAUAAAGUUUUCCACGUGUGGAAUUUUGUAUGUACCAUAUGAAUAAGGAUCGGCUAACUCCGUGCCAGCAGCCGCGGUAAUACGGAGGAUCCGAGCGUUAUCCGGAUUUAUUGGGUUUAAAGGGAGCGUAGGUGGACAGUUAAGUCAGUUGUGAAAGUUUGCGGCUCAACCGUAAAAUUGCAGUUGAUACUGGCUGUCUUGAGUACAGUAGAGGUGGGCGGAAUUCGUGGUGUAGCGGUGAAAUGCUUAGAUAUCACGAAGAACUCCGAUUGCGAAGGCAGCUCACUGGACUGCAACUGACACUGAUGCUCGAAAGUGUGGGUAUCAAACAGGAUUAGAUACCCUGGUAGUCCACACAGUAAACGAUGAAUACUCGCUGUUUGCGAUAUACAGUAAGCGGCCAAGCGAAAGCAUUAAGUAUUCCACCUGGGGAGUACGCCGGCAACGGUGAAACUCAAAGGAAUUGACGGGGGCCCGCACAAGCGGAGGAACAUGUGGUUUAAUUCGAUGAUACGCGAGGAACCUUACCCGGGCUUAAAUUGCAUUUGAAUAUAUUGGAAACAGUAUAGCCGUAAGGCAAAUGUGAAGGUGCUGCAUGGUUGUCGUCAGCUCGUGCCGUGAGGUGUCGGCUUAAGUGCCAUAACGAGCGCAACCCUUAUCUUUAGUUACUAACAGGUCAUGCUGAGGACUCUAGAGAGACUGCCGUCGUAAGAUGUGAGGAAGGUGGGGAUGACGUCAAAUCAGCACGGCCCUUACGUCCGGGGCUACACACGUGUUACAAUGGGGGGUACAGAAGGCAGCUACCUGGUGACAGGAUGCUAAUCCCAAAAGCCUCUCUCAGUUCGGAUCGAAGUCUGCAACCCGACUUCGUGAAGCUGGAUUCGCUAGUAAUCGCGCAUCAGCCAUGGCGCGGUGAAUACGUUCCCGGGCCUUGUACACACCGCCCGUCAAGCCAUGAAAGCCGGGGGUACCUGAAGUACGUAACCGCAAGGAGCGUCCUAGGGUAAAACUGGUAAUUGGGGCUAAGUCGUAACAAGGUAGCCGUACCGGAAGGUGCGGCUGGAACACCUCCUU